This 407-nucleotide ribosomal RNA is filed under the name uncultured bacterium. RNAcentral describes it as "partial 16S ribosomal RNA". It matches the Rfam family "Bacterial small subunit ribosomal RNA", at positions 28 to 526 of the family's 1533-position model. The record is from RNAcentral.
GACGAACGCUGGCGGCGUGCCUAAUACAUGCAAGUCGGACGCAGUUGCGAACGGGUGAGUAACGCGUAGGUAACUACCUAUUAGAGUGGGAUAACCAUUGGAAACGAUAGCUAAUACCGUAAACUAGUAGAUGGACAUGCGUUGUAUUAGCUAGUAGGUAGGGUAAUGGCCUACCUAGGUAACGAUACAUAGCCGACCUGGAGGGGUGGACGGCCACAAUUGGACUGGGGCACGGGCCAGGCUCCUACGGGAGGCAGCAGUAGGGAAUCUUCGGCAAUGGGGGGAAACCUGACCGAGCAACGCCGCGUGAGUGGAGAAGGUUUUCGGAGCGGAAAGCUCGGUUGUUAAGGAAGCGGUACUUGACCAGGAAGGAACGGCUAACUACGUGCCAGCAGCCGCGGUAAUUC